GAUGAACGCUGGCGGCGUGCCUAAUACAUGCAAGUCGAGCGAACAGACGAGGAGCUUGCUCCUCCGACGUUAGCGGCGGACGGGUGAGUAACACGUGGAUAACCUACCUAUAAGACUGGGAUAACUUCGGGAAACCGGAGCUAAUACCGGAUAAUAUAUUGAACCGCAUGGUUCAAUAGUGAAAGACGGUUUUGCUGUCACUUAUAGAUGGAUCCGCGCCGCAUUAGCUAGUUGGUAAGGUAACGGCUUACCAAGGCAACGAUGCGUAGCCGACCUGAGAGGGGGAGGGGCAAAAGGGGAACUGAGCCACGAAAAAGACGCAAACGGGAGGAGGCAGAGGGGAAUUUGCGGUAAGGGGGGAAGGCGUGAAGAAGAAAGGUAGAGGGAGAGAAAAAGGGAUUGGGAUCGAAAAACACUUUUAUAAGGAAAAAAAAAAUGGGAAAGAAACAAGGCAGGUCUGGAAGAAGCGAAAUAAGAAAGAAACGGCAAAUAAGGUG
This 497-nucleotide ribosomal RNA is filed under the name uncultured bacterium. RNAcentral describes it as "partial 16S ribosomal RNA". The stretch from base 20 to 341 matches the Rfam family "Bacterial small subunit ribosomal RNA", at positions 47 to 358 of the family's 1533-position model. The record is from RNAcentral.